Molecule: unclassified non-coding RNA, 268 nt
Filed under: plant metagenome
Description: partial contains small subunit ribosomal RNA, internal transcribed spacer 1, and 5.8S ribosomal RNA
Source: RNAcentral
UUUCCGUAGGUGAACCUGCGGAAGGAUCAUUAAUGAGUUGUCAUGGGGUUCGAUGCUGGCAUCCAAUUUUUGGAUGCAUGUGCUUGCCCUAACAAUCAUCUUCCAAACACCUGUGCACAUUUUUGAGGGAGUCUGAGUUGGUUGCCGCUCUUGGGUGAUUUUCUCACAUUCCCUUAAAUCAUUAUACGCUAUUAACAAUGUUGAACGUGCUCUGUGCCGCAAGGCUAUUAAUAUAAUACAACUUUUAACAACGGAUCUCUUGGCUCUC